UCUAAAUCACAUUUUAGUAGUUUUGUCCAAACCAUGAUAUGGAGUUGCUCAAAUAGAAAAACCAAACAUAUGAUUAGCCAGUGGGUUUGAUCUAUAGUAAACGUUUCAAAACUUAAGUUUAUCCCUUCUCUUUUAGUUAUUAUAUCUAUCUCCAGAAAAUUGUUAAAAUAAAUGUCAAACCUGGUUUUAUUUGUUAUAAACUGUUCUCUCUUUUUCAUCUCUCCCUUUGAUGUAAAAGGGUUUCACAUCUUAGUUUGUUUAGGCAACUUUCAACACCCCUCUUGAAUUAACAUAUAUGGAAAAGAUGUUGACAAAACUAGUAACAAGAACUGUGCUGCCUUAUGUUUUAUAUUUUGAUGCAACCAUACUCAUGAUUUAUUGACCUGCUUUACAUUGUUGGCUGUUCCAGCCUUUUGCCUGUAUUUGUUCCUGUUUUAACAUUUAUUUUUAUUCUAAGCAAAACAGUUUUCCUACACAGGAUCAUAUUAAUGACUGGAGGAAAAUAGCAUUUUGUUUAACAUCCAUUUUCUUUCUUGCUGCUAUAAUAUGGUUCAUAGAACACGUACUGAAGAAAUUGCUGAAUGUUGCCCAUGGGUUUCAAAUGCUAAUAGACCCUAAAGGAGUGCUGAAAUGGUGAUCAUAUGCUACCUUGAGGGCUCAAGAAUAUUUUGAUGCAUAAAGACACUAAUCUAUGUUAGAACUUUUAUGUUUUGGUUGAACUUAUGCAAGACAUAUAACUUGUAAAACUAAUCAAUAUACUCACUAAUGUUAUUUUGUUUGAAAACAAUUUUAGC
Arachis ipaensis is the source of this 794-nucleotide non-coding RNA. The record is from RefSeq and is a predicted model, not a curated record. NCBI's taxonomy places the organism in Eukaryota, Viridiplantae, Streptophyta, Magnoliopsida, Fabales, Fabaceae.